CACGUUAUCAUUCUUGUUAGUUCUAAGUGAAUUCCCUCGGUAUGAUAAUUUGUUCAUCAGUUUGUUCCCCGUUUCUUCUCUAGCCUGAGCCUGACACACUAUUCUAGCUAGACAUGGGUGUGGCUCGUAACACCUGAUGACCAAACGGAUCUACGACACCAUCGAAUCUCAAACUUUAACUACCAAAACUAUUGUUUUUCAUCCUCUAGUCCCUUUUAGAAUUACUAAACGUCCUUUUUUGGGCCGAGAUUUCCAGGAACGCUUUCUCGGGGUUUGUGUGCAUGUAUUUCAAACCAUACAGACCUAAAAAUUAGAAGUCAUUCCAUCUUUAUUCCCGUAGAGCCUUCCAGCAGUUCCUAAACCGCUCCAGUCGGAGCAUGUUAUCAUUCUUGUUUGUUCUGAGUGAAUUCCCUCGGUAUGAUAAUUCUAUCAUCAGUUUGUUCCCCGUUUCUUCUCUAGCCUGAGCCUGGCAAACUAUUCNNNNNNNNNNNNNNNNNNNNNNNNNNNNNNNNNNNNNNNNNNNNNNNNNNNNNNNNNNNNNNNNNNNNNNNNNNNNNNNNNNNNNNNNNNNNNNNNNNNNNNNNNNNNNNNNNNNNNNNNNNNNNNNNNNNNNNNNCUAAACCGCUCUAGUCGGAGCACGUUAUCAUUCUUGUUAGUUCUGAGUGAAUUCCCUCGGUAUGAUAAUUCUUUCAUCAGUUUGUUCCCUGUUUCUUCUCUAGCCUGAGCCUGACACACUAUUCUAGCUAGACAUGGGUGUGGCUCGUAACACCUAAUGACCAAACGGAUCGACGGCACCAUCGAAUCUCAAACUUUAACUGCCAAAACUAUUGUUUUUCAUCCUGUUGUCCCAUUUAGAAUUACUAAACGUCCUUUUUUGGGCCGAGAUUUAGAGGAACGCUUUCUCGGGGUUUGUGUGCAAGUAUUUCAAACCAUACGGACCUAAAAAUUAGAAGUCAUUCCAUCUUUAUUCCCCUAGAGCCUUCCAGCAGUUCCUAAACCGCUCAAGUCAGAGCAUGUUAUCAUUCUUGUUAGUUCUGAGUGAAUUCCCUCGGUAUGAUAAUUCUUUCAUCAGUUUGUUCCCUGUUUCUUCUCUAGCCUGAGCCUGACACACUAUUCUAGCUAGACAUGGGUGUGGCUCGUAACACCUGAUGACCAAACGGAUCUACGACACCAUUGAAUCUCAAACUUUAACUACCAAAACUAUUAUUUUUCAUCCUGUAGUCCCUUUUAGAAUUACUAAACGUCCUUUUUUGGGCCGAGAUUUCCAAGAACGCUUUCUCGUGGUUUGUGUGCAAGUAUUUCAAACCAUACAGACCUAAAAAUUAGAAGUCAUUCCAUCUUUAUGCCCGUAGAGCCUUCCAGCAGUUCCUAAACCGCUCCAGUCGGAGCACGUUAUCAUUCUUAUUAGUUCUGAGUGAAUUCCCUCAGUAUGAUAAUUCUUUCAUAAGUUUGUUCCCCAUUUCUUCUCUAGCCUGAGCCUGGCACACUAUUCUAGCUAGACAUGGGUGUGGCUCAUAACACUUGUUGACUAAAUGGAUCGACGGCACCAUCGAAUCUCAAACUUUAACUGCCAAAACUAUUGUUUUUCAUCCUGUAGUCCCAUUUAGAAUUAUUAAACGUCCUUUUUUGGGCCGAUAUUUAGAGUAAUGCUUUCUCGGGGUUUGUCUGCAAGUAUUUCAAACCAUACGGACCUAAAAAUUAGAAGUCAUUCCAUCUUUAUUCCCCUAGAGCCUUCCAGCAGUUCCUAAACCGCUCUAGUCGGAGCACGUUAUCAUUCUUGUUAGUUCUGAGUGAAUUCCCUCAGUAUGAUAAUUCUUUCAUCUGUUUGUUCCCCGUUUCUUCUCUAGCCUGAGCCUGACACACUAUUCAAGCUAGACAUGGAUGUGGCUCGUAACACCUGAUGACCAAACGGAUCUACGGCACCAUCGAAUCCCAAACUUUAACUGCCAAAACUAUUGUUUUUCAUCCUGUAGUCCCUUUUAGAAUUACUAAACGUCCUUUUUUGGGCCGAGAUUUCCAGGAAUGCUUUCUCGGGGUUUGUGUGCAAGUAUUUCAAACCAUACAAAGCUAGAAAUUAGAAGUCAUUCCAUCUUUAUUAUCGUAGAGCCUUCCAGCAGUUCCUAAACCGGUCUAGUCGGAGCACGUUAUCAUUCUAGUUAGUUCUGAGUGAAUUCCCUCGGUAUGAUAAUUCUUUCAUCAGUUUGUUCCCCGUUUCUUCUCUAGCCUGAGCCUGACAAACUAUUCUAGCUAGACAUGCGUGUGGCUCGUAACACCUGAUGACCAAACGGAUCUAUAGCACCAUCGAAUCUCAAACUUUAACUGCCAAAACUAUUGUUUUCAUCCUGUAGUCCCUUUUAGAAUUACUAAACUUCCUUUUUUGGGCCGAGAUUUAGAGGAACGCUUUCUGGGGUUUGUGUGCAAGUAUUUCAAACCAUACAGACCUAAAAAUUAGAAGUCAUUCCAUCUUUAUUCCCCUAGAGCCUUCCAGCAGUUCCUAAACCGCUCUAGUCGGAGCACGUUAUCAUUAUUGUUAGUUCUGAGUGAAUUCCCUCGGUAUGAUAAUUCUUUCAUCAGUUUGUUCCCUGUUUCUUCUCUAUCCUGAGCCUGACACACUAUUCUAGCUAGACAUGGGUGUGGCUCGUAACACCUGAUGACUAAAUGGAUCGACGGCACCAUCGAAUCUCAAACUUUAACUGCCAAAACUAUUGUUUUUCAUCCUGUAGUCCCAUUUAGAAUUAGUAAACGUCCUUUUUUGGGCCGAGAUUUAGAGGAACGCUUUCUCGGGGUUUGUGUGCAAGUAUUUCAAACCAUACGGACCUAAAAAUUAGAAGUCAUUCCAUCUUUAUUCCCCUAGUCAUCAGGUAUACACUCAAGUCGGAGCACGUUAUCAUUCUUGUUAGUUCUGAGUGAAUUCCCUCGGUAUGAUAAUUCUUUCAUAAAUUUGUUCCCCGUUUCUUAUAUGGCCUGAGCCUGACACACUAUUCUAGCUAGACAUGGGUGUGGCUCGUAACACCUGAUGACCAAACGGAUCUACGGCACCAUCAAAUCUCAAACUUUAACUGCCAAAACUAUUCUUUUUCAUUCUGUAGUCCCUUCUAGAAUUACUAAACGUCCUUUUUUGGGCCGAGAUUUCCAGGAACGCUUUCUCGGGGUUUGUGUGCAUGUAUUUCAAACCAUACAGACCUAAAAAUUAUAAGUCAUUCCAUCUUUAUUCCCGUAGAGCCUUCCAGUAGUUCCUAAACCGCUCCAGUCGGAGCAUGUUAUCAUUCUUGUUAGUUCUAAGUGAAUUCCCUCGGUAUGAUAAUUCUUUCAUCAGUUUGUUCCCCGUUUCUUCUCUAGCCUGAGCCUGGCACACUAGUCUAGCUAGACAUGGGUGUGGCUCGUAACACCCGAUGACUAAAUGGAUCGACGGCACCAUCGAAUCUCAAACUUUAACUGCCAAAACUAUUGUUUUUCAUCCUGUAGUCCCAUUUAGAAUUACUAAACGUCCUUUUUUGGGCCGAGAUUUAGAGGAACGCUUUCUCGUGGUUUGUGUGCAAGAAUUUCAAACCAUACGGACCUAAAAAUUAGAAGUCAUUCCAUCUUUAUUCCCCUAGAGCCUUCCAGUAGUUCCUAAACCGCUCUAGUCGGAGCACGUUAUCAUUCUUGUUAGUUCUGAGAGAAUUCCCUCGGUAUGAUAAUUCUUUUAUCAGUUUGUUCCCCGUUUCUUCUCUAGCCUGAGCCCGACACACUAUUCUAGCUAGACAUGGGUGUGGCUCGUAACACCUGAUGACCAAACGGAUCUACGGCACCAUCGAAUCUCAAACUUUAACUGCCAAAACUAUUGUUUUUCAUCCUGUAGUCCCUUUUAGAAUUACUAAAUGUCCUUUUUUGGGCCGAGAUUUCCAGGAACGCUUUCUCAGGGUUUGUGUGCAAGUAAUUCAAACCAUACGGACCUAAAAAUUAGAAGUCAUUCCAUCUUUAUUCCCCUAGAGCCUUCCAGCAGUUCCUAAACCGCUCAAGUCAGUGCACGUUAUCAUUCUUGUUAGUUCUAAGUGAAUUCCCUCGGUAUGAUAAUUUGUUCAUCAGUUUGUUCCCCGUUUCUUCUCUAGCCUGAGCCUGACACACUAUUCUAGCUAGACAUGGGUGUGGCUCGUAACACCUGAUGACCAAACGGAUCUACGACACCAUCGAAUCUCAAACUUUAACUACCAAAACUAUUGUUUUUCAUCCUCUAGUCCCUUUUAGAAUUACUAAACGUCCUUUUUUGGGCCGAGAUUUCCAGGAACGCUUUCUCGGGGUUUGUGUGCAUGUAUUUCAAACCAUACAGACCUAAAAAUUAGAAGUCAUUCCAUCUUUAUUCCCGUAGAGCCUUCCAGCAGUUCCUAAACCGCUCCAGUCGGAGCAUGUUAUCAUUCUUGUUUGUUCUGAGUGAAUUCCCUCGGUAUGAUAAUUCUAUCAUCAGUUUGUUCCCCGUUUCUUCUCUAGCCUGAGCCUGGCAAACUAUUCUAGCUAGACAUGGGUGUGGCUCGUAACACCUGAUGACCAAACGGAUCUACGACACCAUCGAAUCUCAAACUUUAACUACCAAAACUAUUGUUUUUCAUUCUAUAGUCCCUUCUAGAAUUUCUAAACGUCCUUUUUUGGGCCGAGAUUUCCAGGAAUGCUUUCUCGGGGUUUGUGUGCAAGUAUUUCAAAUCAUACGGACCUAAAAAUUAGAAGUCAUUCCAUCUUUAUUCCCCUAGAGCCUUCCAGUAGUUCCUAAACCGCUCCAGUCGGAGCACGUUAUCAUUCUUGUUAGUUCAUAGUGAAUUCCCUCGGUAUGAUAAUUCUUUCAUCAGUUUGUUCCCCGUUUCUUCUCUAGCCUGAGCCUGGCACAGUAUUCUAGCUAGACAUGGGUGUGGUCGUAACACCUGAUGACUAAAUGGAUCGACGGCACCAUCGAAUCUCAAACUUUAACUGCCAAAACUAUUGUUUUUCAUCCUGUAAUCCCAUUUAGAAUUACUAAACGUCCUUUUUUGGGCCGAGAUUUAGAGGAACGCUUUGUUGGGGUUUGUGUGCAAGUAUUUCAAACCAUACGGACCUAAAAAUUAGAACUCAUUCCAUAUUUAUUCCCCUUGAGCCUUCCAGCAGUUCCUAAACCGCUCUAGUCGGAGCACGUUAUCAUUCUUGUUAGUUCUAAGAGAAUUCCCUCGGUAUGAUAAUUCUUUUAUCAGUUUGUUCCCCGUUUCUUCUCUAGACUGGGCCCGACACACUAUUCUAGCUAGACAUGGGUGUGGCUCGUAACACCUGAUGACCAAACGGAUCUACGGCACCAUCGAAUCUCAAACUUCAACUGCCAAAACUAUUGUUUUUCAUCCUGUAGUCCCUUUUAGAAUUACUAAACGUCCUUUUUUGGGCCGAGAUUUCCAGGAACGCUUUCUCGGGGUUUGUGUGCAAGUAUUUCAAACCAUACGGACCUAAAAAUUAGAAGUCAUUCCAUCUUUAUUCCCGUAGAGCCAUCCAGCAGUUCCUAAACCGCUCCAGUCGGAGCACGUUAUCAUUCUUGUUAGUUCUGAGUGAAUUCCCUCGGUAUGAUAAUUCUUUCAUCAGUUUGUUCCCCGUUUCUUCUCUAGCCUGAGCCUGACAAACUAUUAUAGCUAGACAUGGGUGUGGCUCGUAACACCUGAUGACCAAACGGAUCUAUGGCACCAUCGAAUCUCAAACUUUAACUGCCAAAACUAUUGUUUUUCAUCCUGUAGUCCCUUUUAGAAUUACUAAACGCCCUUCUUUGGGACGAGAUUUCCAGGAACGCUUUCUCGGGGUUUGUGUGAAAGUAAUUCAAACCAUACGGACCUAAAAAUUAGAAGUCAUUCCAUCUUUAUUCCCGUGGAGCCUUCCAGUAGUUCCUAAACCGCUCCAGUCGGAGCACGUUAUCAUUCUUGUUAGUUCUGAGUGAAUUCCCUCGGUAUGAUAAUUCUUUCAUCAGUUUGUUCCCUGUUUCUUCUCUAGCCUGAGCCUGGCACACUAUUCUAGCUAGACAUGGGUGUGGCUCGUAACACCUGAUGACUAAACUGAUCAAUGACACCAUCGAAUCUCAAACUUUAACUGCCAAAACUAUUGUUUUUCAUCCUGUAGUCCCAUUUAGAAUUACUAAACGUCCUUUUUUGGGCCGAGAUUUCCAGGAACGCUUACUCGGGGUUUGUGUGCAAGUAUUUCAAACCAUACUGACCUAAAAAUUAGAAGUCAAUCCAUCUUUAUUCCCCUAGAGCCUUCCAGCAGUUCCUAAACCGCUCCAGUCGGAGCACGUUAUCAUUCUUGUUAGUUCUGAGUGAAUUCCCUCGGUAUGAUAAUUCUUUCAUCAGUUUGUUCCUUGUUUCUUCUCUAGCCUGAACCUGACACACUAUUCUAGCUAGACAUGGGUGUGGCUCGUAACACCUGAUGACCAAACGGAUCUACGGCACCAUCGAAUCUCAAACUUUAACUGCCAAAACUAUUAUUUUUAAUCCUCUAGUCCCAUUUAGAAUUACUAAACGUCCUUUUUUGGGCCGAGAUUUAGAGGAACGCUUUCAUGCGGUUUGUGUGCAAGUAUUUCAAACCAUACGGACCUAAAAAUUAGAAGUCAUUCCAUCUUUAUUCCCCUAGAGCCUUCCAGCAGUUCCUAAACCGCUCCAGUCGGAGCAUGUUAUCAUUCUUGUUAGUUCUGAGUGAAUUCCCUCGGUAUGAUAAUUCUUUCAUCAGUUUGUGGCCCGUUUCUUCUCUAGCCUGAGCCUGACACACUAUUCUAGCUAGACGUGGGUGUGGCUCGUAACACCUGAUGACCAAACGGAUCUACGGCACCAUCGAAUCUCAAACUUUAAGUGCCAAAACUAUUAUUUUUAAUCCUGUAGUCCCAUUUAGAAUUACAAAAAUGUCCUUUUUUGGGCUGAGAUUUCCAGGAACGCUUUCGUGCGGUUUGUGUGCAAGUAUUUCAAACCAUACAGAC
This 6943-nucleotide long non-coding RNA is filed under the name Triticum aestivum (bread wheat). RNAcentral's name for it is "long non-coding RNA (TAES_LNC028121)". Lineage: Eukaryota; Viridiplantae; Streptophyta; Magnoliopsida; Poales; Poaceae. The record is from RNAcentral.